RNAcentral lists this ribosomal RNA (543 nucleotides) under uncultured metazoan. RNAcentral describes it as "bacterial SSU rRNA". It matches the Rfam family "Eukaryotic small subunit ribosomal RNA", at positions 602 to 1088 of the family's 1831-position model. The record is from RNAcentral. Lineage: Eukaryota; Metazoa.
UAUUAAAGUUGUUGCAGUUAAAAAGCUCGUAGUUGGAUCUCGGGCUCGCCGGCCGCGCGGUCUCGCAGGUUAUCUAGGCACUGUCCGCCUGCGGUGCACUGCCGUCGGCGCCCAACCGGCGGGGGGACCGGCCCUGAACCAGCCGCGUCCUGCGCGAGCAGCCGCGGGUGCCCUUAACUGGGUGGCCCGAGGCACCCGCCCGUUUUACUUUGAAAAAAUUGGAGUGUUCAAGGCAGGCUUCAGACGGCCUGAAUAAUGGUGCAUGGAAUAAUGGAAUAGGAUCUCGGUUCUAUUUUGUUGGUUUUCGGAACUCGAGAUAAUGAUUAAGAGGGACAGACGGGGGCAUCCGUACUGCGGCGUUAGAGGUGAAAUUCUUGGAUCGCCGCAAGACGAACUACUGCGAAAGCAUUUGCCAAGAAUGUUUUCAUUAAUCAAGAACGAAAGUCAGAGGUUCGAAGACGAUCAGAUACCGUCCUAGUUCUGACCAUAAACGAUGCCGACUAGCGAUCCGCCGGAGUUGUACCUAUGACCCGGCGGGCAGCU